This 254-nucleotide ribosomal RNA is filed under the name uncultured bacterium. Its description in RNAcentral is "partial 16S ribosomal RNA". It matches the Rfam family "Bacterial small subunit ribosomal RNA", at positions 79 to 334 of the family's 1533-position model. The record is from RNAcentral.
AAACUGAAGAUGGCGACCGGCGCACGGGUGAGUAACACGUAUCCAACCUGCCGAUAACUCCGGAACAGCCUUUCGAAAGAAAGAUUAAUACCGGAUAGUAUACGAAUAUCGCAUGAUAUUUUUAUUAAAGAAUUUCGGUUAUCGAUGGGGAUGCGUUCCAUUAGUUUGUUGGCGGGGUAACGGCCCACCAAGACUACGAUGGAUAGGGGUUCUGAGAGGAAGGUCCCCCACAUUGGAACUGAGACACGGUCCAA